Molecule: long non-coding RNA, 1229 nt
Filed under: Homo sapiens (human)
Lineage: Eukaryota; Metazoa; Chordata; Mammalia; Primates; Hominidae
Description: non-protein coding lnc-TMEM105-2:13
Source: RNAcentral
GAGCGGGGUGUGGGGGGAGCGGGGGGCACAGCCAGGUGCAUGUUAUGGGUCCAGGGCAGCGACCUAGUCCAUUUGUCCUUUUCGAAGUGUGGCCUGGGACACCUCCUAUCCAGCCAUACGCCGCCCAGGACUGGCUCAACAGCUCCACCCUCCACUGCUGUUCACCCAUGACACGUCACUUCCCACCCGCCACUGCUGGCUCACCUGUGACACCCCAGGCAGCUCAGAUGCCCGGCAGGUCCUGCUGGUGUGUGUUAGCCGGGGUCUCCAAAGAACCAGAGCCAGCAGGGGACACACCCAUCUCUGUAUCUGGAGAAAAAGAUCGAUGAGAAGGAAUCUGCUCCUGUGAUGAUGGAGGCUGACAAGUCCCGAGAGCCACGGUUGGCACCCUGGAGACCCCUGAGGGUGAUACCACCACUCCAGGCUGAAAGCUGGCAGGCUUGAGACCCUGGGAGAGCUGGCCCUCUGACUCCUGGGACUUCUUAUUCUAUCCUAGUAUUUCCUCAGCUGAGUGCAUGGGGCCAGACCACACUGGGGAGGGCAGUCAGCGUCACUCAGAGCACCGGGUCAUCUCAUGCAGAAACACCCUCAAAGAAAUAGCCCAAAUUAUGCUGACCAAAUAUCUGGGCACCCCGUGCCCCAGACAAGUUGACACAGAAAAUUAACCAUCACAGGUUAACUCCAUCCAGGAGUGGAAUUGCUGGGUCAUAGAGAAGGCAUAGGAAUUCACAGAAAUCACCAAACGGUUUUCAGGCGGUUGUGCCAUGUUAAACUCCCACUGGAAAGAGAGGAGAGCUGUGAUUGUUCCACGUCCUCAGCAACGUUUAGAAUAGGCAGUCUUUGGCCGGGCCGGGCACAGAGGCUCAAACCUGUAACCCCAGCACUUUGGGAGGCCAUAGUGGGUGGAUUACCUGAGAUCAAGAGUUCAAGACCAGCCUGGCCAACAUGGUUAAACCCCGUCUCUAUUAAAAAUGCAAAAAUUAGCCAGGCGUGGUGGUGCGUGCCUGUAAUUCCAGCUACUUGGGGGCUGAGGCAGGAGAAUCGUUUGAACCCAGGAGGCAGAGUUUGCAGCGAGCCGAGAUCGCGCCACUGCACUCCAGCCUGGGCAACAGAAUGAGACUCUGUCUCCAAAAAAAGAAAAAAUAAAUAAAGAAAAGUCAUUCUGUAGUUUUAGCCUUUGUGAAGGCAUGAAGUGGCAUCUCAUUAUGGUUUAAAUGCUUAUUUCGCUG